UUUUUUUUUCCAGUUUUCUUGGCCCAGAACGCAAAUACUUGUUAGUUCUUCGGUAGGUUCUUUCUUAUGUGGGUCUACUGUCUAUUAAUCUGAGGAAGAACUAUGAUCUAAUUGGUGUUUGCAAGUUCUAUUCCAUUUCAAGAAUUUUUUUUUUUUGUUAUUGUUGAAAUACCUAAUGCUAACGCCCAUGAUCAAUCUUGUUCGAUGGUCUGCAGACAGAAGAUGUAAUUACUUUUGCUCCCUGAUGAUCCUACAUCAGCAACGUAGCUUAAAGUGGAUUUUAGGUGCAACAAGGGUGCUGCCUGCUUUUCCUCUCCUUUACUGUCGAAAAGUUUCUUCAUCUGAAAUCAUAAUGGUAAGGGUUUUUUUCACGAUCUAAAUUAUGAUUGAUGAUUGCCAAAUCGGAUUCCAACAGUUGCUCUUGUUGGAUUGUUAUGUUCUUUUUUACUUGUUUGAAUUGCAACAGAGUUCCCCUAUUUGUCUGACAGUGAACUUUAUUUUUCUGAAAAUAUUAUGCCCAUUUUAUGAU
RNAcentral lists this long non-coding RNA (529 nucleotides) under Musa acuminata (dwarf banana). RNAcentral's name for it is "long non-coding RNA (MACU_LNC009624)". The record is from RNAcentral. Lineage: Eukaryota; Viridiplantae; Streptophyta; Magnoliopsida; Zingiberales; Musaceae.